AACGAACGCUGGCGGCAGGCCUAACACAUGCAAGUCGAGCGAGGACUUCGGACCUAGCGGCGGACGGGUGAGUAACGCGUGGGAACGUGCCCUUUGCUUCGGAAUAGCCCUGGGAAACUGGGAGUAAUACCGGAUGAGCCCUUUGGGGGAAAGAUUUAUCGGCGAAGGAUCGGCCCGCGUUGGAUUAGGUAGUUGGUGGGGUAAUGGCCUACCAAGCCGACGAUCCAUAGCUGGUUUGAGAGGAUGAUCAGCCACACUGGGACUGAGACACGGCCCAGACUCCUACGGGAGGCAGCAGUGGGGAAUCUUAGACAAUGGGGGAAACCCUGAUCUAGCCAUGCCGCGUGAGCGAUGAAGGCCUUAGGGUUGUAAAGCUCUUUCAGCUGGGAAGAUAAUGACGGUACCAGCAGAAGAAGCCCCGGCUAACUCCGUG
This 433-nucleotide ribosomal RNA is filed under the name uncultured bacterium. Its description in RNAcentral is "partial 16S ribosomal RNA". It matches the Rfam family "Bacterial small subunit ribosomal RNA", at positions 29 to 507 of the family's 1533-position model. The record is from RNAcentral.